GCAAGGUUAAAACUCAAAUGAAUUGACGGGGGCCCGCACAAGCGGUGGAGCAUGUGGUUUAAUUCGAUGCAACGCGAAGAACCUUACCUGGUCUUGACAUCCACAGAACUUUCCAGAGAUGGAUUGGUGCCUUCGGGAACUGUGAGACAGGUGCUGCAUGGCUGUCGUCAGCUCGUGUUGUGAAAUGUUGGGUUAAGUCCCGCAACGAGCGCAACCCUUAUCCUUUGUUGCCAGCGGUCCGGCCGGGAACUCAAAGGAGACUGCCAGUGAUAAACUGGAGGAAGGUGGGGAUGACGUCAAGUCAUCAUGGCCCUUACGACCAGGGCUACACACGUGCUACAAUGGCGCAUACAAAGAGAAGCGACCUCGCGAGAGCAAGCGGACCUCAUAAAGUGCGUCGUAGUCCGGAUUGGAGUCUGCAACUCGACUCCAUGAAGUCGGAAUCGCUAGUAAUCGUGGAUCAGAAUGCCACGGUGAAUACGUUCCCGGGCCUUGUACACACCGCCCGUCACACCAUGGGAGUGGGUUGCAAAAGAAGUAGGUAGCUUAACCUUCGGGAGGGCGCUUACCACUUUGUGAUUCAUGACUGGGGUGAAGUCGUAACAAGGUAACCGUAGGGGAACCUGC
This 627-nucleotide ribosomal RNA is filed under the name Salmonella enterica. RNAcentral's name for it is "bacterial SSU rRNA". It matches the Rfam family "Bacterial small subunit ribosomal RNA", at positions 888 to 1515 of the family's 1533-position model. Lineage: Bacteria; Pseudomonadati; Pseudomonadota; Gammaproteobacteria; Enterobacterales; Enterobacteriaceae. The record is from RNAcentral.